Molecule: ribosomal RNA, 497 nt
Filed under: uncultured bacterium
Lineage: Bacteria
Description: partial 16S ribosomal RNA
Rfam family: Bacterial small subunit ribosomal RNA
Source: RNAcentral
GAUGAACGCUGGCGGCGUGCCUAAUACAUGCAAGUCGAGCGAACGGACGAGGAGCUUGCUUCUCUGAUGUUAGCGGCGGACGGGUGAGUAACACGUGGAUAACCGACCUAUAAGACUGGGAUAACUUCGGGAAACCGGAGCUAACACCGGAUAAUAUUUUGAACCGCAUGGUUCAACAGUGAAAGACGGUCUUGCUGUCACUUAUAGAUGGAUCCGGGUUGCAUUAGCUAGUUGGUAAGGUAACGGCCUACCAAGGCGACGAUGCGUAGCUGACCUGAGAGGAUGAUCGGCCACACUGGAACUGAGACACGGUCCAGACUCCUACGGGAGGCAGCAGUGGGGAAUCUUCCGCAAUGGGCGAAAGCCUGACGGAGCAACGCCGCGUGUGUGAUGAAGGUCUUCGGAUCGUAAAGCUCUGUUAGUAGGGAAGAACAUAUGUGUAAGUAAAUGUGGCCAUCUUGACGGUACCUAAAGAGAAAGCCCCGGCUAACUACGUG